UGGCUCGGGGUUAGGGCGGGGCGGCCUAUAAAAACUGCUGAGUCUCGGUCGGGUGCUCUGCGGGCGGGCGGGCUGGGCGAUGGCGGCGCGGCGUGGAGUGGAUGGGCAUUGAGCAACUCGGUGUCGGUGGAGGGAGGGGCGACGUGACGUGGCUCGCCGGGCAGACCGGCGGAGGCGAAAGAUAUAUUGCCGGCCGGCCCCAGGAGCGCUCAACAGGCAGAGGAGGGGACGUUGAUCAUGCGACGGUGCGUCCUCGUCUCGUCUUAGGCCAUCGGUCUAGCUUGCGGGGCGGGAGAGAGGGAGGGAGCGGGGGAAGGCUCGGGCAGCGGUACCGCGGCGGGGCGCAGCCGGACGAGGAGCGGGAGCGGAACACGGAGCGCAAGCGCGCACGGCUGCGCCGGCACUCCCUGGAGUUCCAGCCCAUGAUGCGCGUCUGCACGGGGGCGCGCCUCCUCUAGCACGCGGCGCAGUACCGGGCGCGCGAGCGCGCGCUCCGGGCGUCGCAGCGGAGGCAGUACGCAGAGGUCAAGGUGCUGACGAAGCAGUUGCCUACGCUGCCCAGCCACGACUACCUGCGCUGCGGCUGCUACCGCCCCCUCUUCCUCCGCGAGAGGUUGUAGUUGAGGGAGGCGAGGAAGCUCCAGCACCUGCUCCAGUUCUCGCGGGAGCUCCUCGUCACGGGGCCGUAGCAGAGGACGCGGCUGUAGUAGUAGUACCGGCGGGCGCUGCGGCAGCACGACCAUGCAUGCGGAGGAAGAGGGGGGCGGGGCCCGACGAGCGCAUUAGGCACGGCACGGCACGGGGCGUCGGCGCCGCGUCUAAGAGGGAACGAAAAGCAGCAAGUGCUCUGCUCUGCCCCUGCUCCGGCUACGCCCCAAGGUAACAAGGUAAGGUAACGACCGCAAAGGACACGUUAAUUAACGUAGGGGCCGGCUGGACGGCCACCAAAGCCAAGGUCUUAGGUCUGAGGUCUCCGGGCCAGAAAGUUUUACCUUUUCCCCCCUCUUUGACUCGCUUUGGACCCCAGUUUUAACGGAAUUAAUUAAAGGAAAAACAGGUGAUCAUAUCCUCAUGAAGUCACGUCACGCAUAGUCACGACACGGUAAUUAAAAACCGUUAAGACAAACCACGAACCGACCGUUGUGAUCAGUAGCAGCAGCGUUCGGCGGAUGGACACCAGUCGCAGAGAGCGUGCGUGGCAGAAGAGGAACGGAAAUUUUUUUUUAGGACGUGUAGGUGAAGCAAGCUUCGAGGAUGUGACAACUGCCGUGUUGCUCGCUAGCUCUUAGCGAAUAGAAGCGUGACUGAAAAUAAGCCAUUGUUGAACGUCAUAAACCCUUCAACCUCAUCAUCACAAUUUUAUCGUUGGUUCUUUGCGUCUUAAUCAAAAACGGUCUUUACAAGCAUCCGUCGUACAAUUACAGGGGAAGAAUUACAAAAGACUUUAACACUCAGCAUUUACAAAGGUUUCUUUUGGCCUACGCGCUACGAAACUGUCCCUGCCCGCGUACCCGCGCGGAUGGGAACGAGGGGCAUUGGUUUGGUGGUGUGACUUGAUCUUAGCCCGAUCUUACCGCAGUCGCAGUGGGGGGCGCAGGUAGGACGGCACGGAUCUGUUGCAACGUGCUGAGGAUCCGUCCGCGUAAAUUGCUCCGGCCUUUGCCGGUCCGCUCCACCGGAGCGGACGCCUUCCCGGCUGCCGGGGUCGAUGUCCAUAUCAUUGGGACCUGCAGAGACACGGCUGUCCGCAUGGGGCAGGCCACGACAGUUUGUCCAGGGACGCGGUUCUUGCUGCUCCCUGUUCUCAUCCUAUCGUACCCCGACCCGGAGCACGCACCGACCAGGUGCGCUCUAGGAAACGGAGGAGACAGAGAGUGUGUGCAAGACAGCCUAGUCUUAGUCUGCUAUUACGACGGCGACGACGUUACCUCUAGCAAAAUCAUGAAGCGGACGAGGAAGCAACAAAACGCGCGCACAGCACAGCGACACGGUCGGUGCGCAAGCAGAAGAGUGACUCUAAGUAGGCCCACAAACUAACCAAGUCCGGUACCUGGAUUAUAAACAAAAGUCGCAUAAAAUCGAGACAAAGGUAAAACAGCCAACGAUGCAAGAGCCAUCCUCAUCGUAUCUCGACUAUCUCCCCAGCUAAGUAGUUCAUGUCAUUCGUGAUAAACCAGAACUAAAGUAAUAUAAAAUCGUGGUUAAUUUGAACAAAGUCUUUCACUUUUUACGUCCUCAAUCGUCCAAUUGAACCGUCCAAAACUAACUAUAUUAAUGAGGUGUUAUGUUGUAGUUGUUGUUGUUAUCUUGAAGUUUUUUUUGUUAUCUCAGUUAUAAAACUGUACCAAACUGAGACUUAACAAAUAAAGGAGAAGAGCGUCUGACCACCUGGGUUGACCCUGCACUCCGAGCCCGCCCUCCUGUCAGACUGCCGCUCGGUCCUCCUGAGCCUGUUGUAGUACGGCUCGGGCGCGCGGUUGCGCUCGCGCGAGUAGGCGGAGAAGCGGCCGAUGUUCGAGUGGCAGUGGCUGGAGCAGCGCGAUAGGCCGAGCGUGAGGCAGCCGCUCCGGGCGACGAAGAGGUAGCAGAAGGCGGAGAUGUUGGUCAGCCCGAGGCCGGCGGGGCUGGGGGUGUACCUGGGCCGGAUGGCGGUCCGCGAGCUGCGCGAGACGGGGGAGUGGCCGCUGGUCUUGCAGUGGCCGCCGGACCUGCGGUGGGGCCAGCAGAAGCUGUUGGUCAUGAAGUUCCUGGACCAGGUGGAGGCGCCGAAGGACUUGAGGCUGGUCUGCGAGAAGAGGCUGUUGCUCCCCUGGGCCGCCCACCACUGCGUCAAGUCGGUCUUGGUCCUGCGGAAGAAGUCCCGGAAGUAGCUCCCCUACCAGUUCGACCCGCUCGAGGUCUUGGGGUCCUUCCCCCUCUAGGCCGCGUUGACGGCGCAGCGGUUGCCGCCCGCCGGCGGCGACCUCUUCGUCCAGCGCGGCAAGGCCCACCACCUGAAGACUUGGACCAAGAUGCCAUCCGGACAUCCACAGAGUGCCCUCGAGACCACACCCUCGCUAGGUAUACGAACUGUAUCCAAACCAGCACAGCGUCAAGACACGGAUGGGUUCUUACCAAAGUCCAGACCGAGACGAAUAACGAUUAACAACUCCUUAUUAUCUCUUUAGCUACGGAGACCAUGAAACUAACGGUACCCGACGUAAUUCCAAACGAAGAAACAACUAAGAGGUUUAUAAUCGAUCGCUAUCACGUUCUACGAAUCUCUCUACGAA
This 3272-nucleotide ribosomal RNA is filed under the name Triticum aestivum (bread wheat). RNAcentral's name for it is "partial small subunit ribosomal RNA". Lineage: Eukaryota; Viridiplantae; Streptophyta; Magnoliopsida; Poales; Poaceae. The record is from RNAcentral.